UNCAAUACCACAGCCUCUUUAAAAAUACUU
This 30-nucleotide non-coding RNA is filed under the name Mus musculus (house mouse). Lineage: Eukaryota; Metazoa; Chordata; Mammalia; Rodentia; Muridae. The record is from RNAcentral.